RNAcentral lists this ribosomal RNA (207 nucleotides) under uncultured Aminobacter sp. RNAcentral describes it as "partial 16S ribosomal RNA". It matches the Rfam family "Bacterial small subunit ribosomal RNA", at positions 29 to 265 of the family's 1533-position model. The record is from RNAcentral. Lineage: Bacteria; Pseudomonadati; Pseudomonadota; Alphaproteobacteria; Hyphomicrobiales; Phyllobacteriaceae.
AGCGAACGCUGGCGGCAGGCUUAAUACAUGCAAGUCGAGCGCGUAGCAAUACGAGCGGCAGACGGGUGAGUAACGCGUGGGAAUCUACCCAGCUCUACGGAAUAACCCAGGGAAACUUGGGCUAAUACCGUAUACGUCCGAUAGGAGAAAGAUUUAUCGGAGUUGGAUGAGCCCGCGUUGGAUUAGCUAGUUGGUGGGGUAAUGGCC